UACGUAGGGUGCAAGCGUUGUCCGGAAUUAUUGGGCGUAAAGAGCUCGUAGGCGGUCUGUCGCGUCGGCUGUGAAAUCCCGAGGCUCAACCUCGGGUCUGCAGUCGAUACGGGCAAACUGGAGUACUGCAGGGGAGACUGGAAUUCCUGGUGUAGCGGUGGAAUGCGCAGAUAUCAGGAGGAACACCGGUGGCGAAGGCGGGUCUCUGGGCAGUAACUGACGCUGAGGAGCGAAAGCGUGGGGAGCGAACAGG
This 253-nucleotide ribosomal RNA is filed under the name uncultured bacterium. Its description in RNAcentral is "partial 16S ribosomal RNA". It matches the Rfam family "Bacterial small subunit ribosomal RNA", at positions 524 to 776 of the family's 1533-position model. The record is from RNAcentral.